Molecule: ribosomal RNA, 397 nt
Filed under: uncultured bacterium
Lineage: Bacteria
Description: partial 16S ribosomal RNA
Rfam family: Bacterial small subunit ribosomal RNA
Source: RNAcentral
AUACGUAGGUGACAAGCGUUAUCCGGAUUUACUGGGCGUAAAGGGCGUGUAGGCGGUCUUGCAAGUCAGAAGUGAAAUUCCUGAGCUCAACUCGGGCGCUGCUUCUGAAACUGCAGGACUUGAGUGCUGGAGGGGAUAGCGGAAUUCCUAGUGGAGCGGUAAAAUGCGCAGAUAUUAGGAAGAACACCGGUGGCGAAGGCGGCUAUCUGGACAGUAACUGACGCUGAGGCGCGAAAGCGUGGGGAGAAAACAGGAUUAGAUACCGUGGUAGUCCACGCCGUAAACGAUGAAUACUAGGUGUAGGGGGUAUCGACUCCCUCUGUGCCGCAGUUAACACAAUAAGUAUUCCGCCUGGGGAGUACGGCCGCAAGGUUGAAACUCAAAUGAAUUGACGGGG